GCUCCCUGCUUCCAUGGCCCUCGGCUUCUCCAGCUGCCGGUGCUUGCCCUCUGCCAUGGCCGCGCCGGAUUGAAGCCCCUGCCAUGGCACUUCGCUUCCUCUGCGACGUUCUCCUCCCUCUAAUCUUUCUGCUCGCCGGCAGUAAUAUCCAGUCGCGCCCUGGGAUUUUGCCCGAAGCUAUGCACGCCCGGUCGAUCUCCCUGCUCCAGCGCUGCGCCCGACUCCAGCCAGCUCUGCUCCUCUUUCUCUCUGCUCGGCGUCCUUCCUCUGCCCGCUGAGUCCCUCCAUCGCCUGGCCGCGCCCAGCUUCUUUGCUCCGUGCGCGCGCCUGCUCCUAUGCGGCGCGGAACUUCCUCUGCGUCCAGGUCCCUCAGCUCGCGUCCAUGCCGCGGCGUCCUGGUCCCUACUUGACCGUGUCACUCUGCGCUCGCGUCGCUGUCUGGUUCCGAGCGCCUGGGUCUUCUUUCCCCUGCGCUCGGUCAUAGUCGCUGCGAGCCGUGAAACUCCCUGUGUCGAGCUCGGAUCCCUGCGCAGCGGAGCUUUUCCCCUAGCCAAGAUCGUCAUUGCGCGCAGAUUUUCUUUGCUGCUCGCCGCGCUCGAUUCGUCGUGCGCUGGGCGCUGUCCGGCGCCGGUAUUCGCCGACCCCGCCUCACCAUGGGUGUGUGUCAUCAAUCUCGCCCUGUUCUGUCCACUCGAUGUCGCGUGCUUCUGUGCCGUUUGCUACGCUUGGCACAUCCGUGCCAUUCGUGUUCGACAUGUCCCUGGCACGGUUGUUUACAGCUGCUCGGAUAAACUUCUCUGUUUCGGCGUGUUCGCCAUCGACCGCCCCCGGUGCUCGACGAAUGGCUGGAACCCGGAAUUCGUCGUCGUUUCUCAUCCGCGAUCUCGUCAACCUCUGCUCGACAAGUGUUCGAUGAAGGGCCUGAGCCAAGUGUUGUUGCUACUUCCACGAAUUUCUCAUCGAAUUGGUAAUAGUACUCUAGCUCGCUACUCCUACUAAUCAAUUAAUUCGAUGAAUAUAUUGGAUGAAUAUUACCCGCGACGUUAGAAUCAGAUACUUGUGAUGUGCUGUAGUAAUUAUCUGUAUUUCAUUGUAUAUGUUUGAUGUUAGGUUAUUUCUCUACGGGAUAGGAUAUUGUAUUUCGAUAUUUAAUCUCGUCUGGUAUGUAGACUUGUUAGGUGUUCGAGAAAAUGUCUGAAUUAGAAAUCGUUGUUGUUAUCAGGUGUUGAGUCAAAUAUGGUCCCAAUGAGCUGUGCCGUUUUUAUUGCUAUUAGAAUUGAUGAAUGGUUCGAUUAAAUAUAUUAUCACGACUCUUAUUUAUAGCACAGAUGCGCGGUAGCGAUCUGCGUUACUUAGCGCUAGUUUGUUUCCUUUGUGUGUUUGC
This 1384-nucleotide long non-coding RNA is filed under the name Zea mays. Its description in RNAcentral is "drought-responsive long non-coding RNA". Lineage: Eukaryota; Viridiplantae; Streptophyta; Magnoliopsida; Poales; Poaceae. The record is from RNAcentral.